RNAcentral lists this ribosomal RNA (274 nucleotides) under uncultured bacterium. RNAcentral describes it as "partial 16S ribosomal RNA". It matches the Rfam family "Bacterial small subunit ribosomal RNA", at positions 523 to 796 of the family's 1533-position model. The record is from RNAcentral.
AUACGGAGGGGGCGAGCGUUAUUCGGAAUCACUGGGCGUAAAGCGUGCGUAGGCGGUUUAACAAGUCAGAAGUGAAAGCCCAGGGCUCAACCCUGGAACUGCUUUUGAAACUGUUAGACUAGAAUUCGGGAGAGGUCAGGAGAAUUCCUAGUGUAGAGGUGAAAUUCGUAGAUAUUAGGAGGAAUACCAGUGGCGUAGGCGCCUGACUGGACCGAUAUUGACGCUGAGGUACGAAAGCGUGGGGAGCAAACAGGAUUAGAAACCCUAGUAGUCC